GAAAUGCGAUAAGUAGUGUGAAUUGCAGAAUUCAGUGAAUCAUCGAAUCUUUGAACGCACAUUGCGCCCCUUGGUAUUCCAUGGGGCAUGCCUGUUCGAGCGUCAUUUGUACCCUCAAGCUCUGCUUGGUGUUGGGUGUUUGUCCCGUCUCCGCGCGUGGACUCGCCCCAAAGUGAUUGGCAGCCGGCGUACUGGUCCCGGAGCGCAGCACAUGUCGCGCAAACGAGUGCCUUGGUACGGCGACAUCCAUAAGCCCCUCUCUCACGCUCUUGACCUCGGAUCAGGUAGGGAUACCCGCUGAACUUAAGC
This 309-nucleotide unclassified non-coding RNA is filed under the name plant metagenome. RNAcentral describes it as "partial contains 5.8S ribosomal RNA, internal transcribed spacer 2, and large subunit ribosomal RNA". The stretch from base 1 to 105 matches the Rfam family "5.8S ribosomal RNA", at positions 50 to 154 of the family's 154-position model. The record is from RNAcentral.